RNAcentral lists this ribosomal RNA (468 nucleotides) under uncultured bacterium. Its description in RNAcentral is "partial 16S ribosomal RNA". It matches the Rfam family "Bacterial small subunit ribosomal RNA", at positions 28 to 507 of the family's 1533-position model. The record is from RNAcentral.
GACGAACGCUGGCGGCGUGCUUAACACAUGCAAGUCGAACGGAAAGGCCCUGCUUUUGUGGGGUGCUCGAGUGGCGAACGGGUGAGUAACACGUGAGUAACCUGCCCUUGACUUUGGGAUAACUUCAGGCAACUGGGGCUAAUACCGGAUAGGUGCUCCUGCUGCAUGGUGGGGGUUGGAAAGUUUCGGCGGUUGGGGAUGGACUCGCGGCUUAUCAGCUUGUUGGUGGGGUAGUGGCUUACCCAGGCUUUGACGGAUAGCCGGCCUGGGAGGGUGACCGGCCACAUUGGGACUGAGAUACGGCCCAGACUGCUACGGUAGGCAGCAGUGGAGAAUAUUGCACAGUGGGCGGAAGCCUGAUGCGACAGCGCCGCGUGCGGGAUGACGGCCUUCGGGUUGUAAACCGCUUUCGCCUGUGACGAAGCGUGAGUGACGGUAAUGGGUAAAGAAGCACCGGCUAACUACGUG